This is a Y RNA of Pongo abelii (Sumatran orangutan), 102 nucleotides long. It matches the Rfam family "Y RNA". Rfam says of the family: Y RNAs are components of the Ro ribonucleoprotein particle (Ro RNP), in association with Ro60 and La proteins. The record is from Ensembl. Lineage: Eukaryota; Metazoa; Chordata; Mammalia; Primates; Hominidae.
CGCUGGUCCAAGGGCAGUGGUGUUUACAACUAAUUGAUCACAGCCAGUUACAGAUUUCUUUGUUCCUUUUCCAUUCCCACUGCUUCACCUGACUAGCCUAAA